Molecule: unclassified non-coding RNA, 310 nt
Filed under: Hevea brasiliensis (rubber tree)
Lineage: Eukaryota; Viridiplantae; Streptophyta; Magnoliopsida; Malpighiales; Euphorbiaceae
Source: RNAcentral
ACCCAAAGGCGAGAUGGGGACGGGCGAUGGAGGCGUUGGUGAGCUGGACGGUGAAGGCGUCAGUGACAAGGACGCCGAGAGAGGACCACUUGUCGGCAUAGUGGAUCUCAUAGUCGCAUUGUUCUGGACCAUCGCAGUCACGGUGGCCGGGUACGCUGGGGCAGAGGGGGUGGCUGCAGAUGAUCACCCUGUUUUUUGCCGGACGGUACAAAGGAUGGGGACACUUGGGGCAGCGAACGCAGGGGGCGUUGCAGUGAAGCCAGGAGAGAUCACUGCCGGUGUCGACGUCGAGGAUGUAGGGUUUUGGGGG